RNAcentral lists this ribosomal RNA (473 nucleotides) under uncultured organism. RNAcentral's name for it is "partial 16S ribosomal RNA". It matches the Rfam family "Bacterial small subunit ribosomal RNA", at positions 334 to 798 of the family's 1533-position model. The record is from RNAcentral.
CACUCCUACGGGAGGCAGCAGUGGGGAAUAUUGCACAAUGGGCGCAAGCCUGAUGCAGCCAUGCCGCGUGUAUGAAGAAGGCCUUCGGGUUGUAAAGUACUUUCAGCGGGGAGGAAGGCAAUACGGUUAAUAACCGUGUUGAUUGACGUUACCCGCAGAAGAAGCACCGGCUAACUCCGUGCCAGCAGCCGCGGUAAUACGGAGGGUGCAAGCGUUAAUCGGAAUUACUGGGCGUAAAGCGCACGCAGGCGGUCUGUCAAGUCGGAUGUGAAAUCCCCGGGCUCAACCUGGGAACUGCAUUCGAAACUGGCAGGCUUGAGUCUUGUAGAGGGGGGUAGAAUUCCAGGUGUAGCGGUGAAAUGCGUAGAGAUCUGGAGGAAUACCGGUGGCGAAGGCGGCCCCCUGGACAAAGACUGACGCUCAGGUGCGAAAGCGUGGGGAGCAAACAGGAUUAGAUACCCGUGUAGUCCCAU